This 387-nucleotide ribosomal RNA is filed under the name uncultured bacterium. RNAcentral describes it as "bacterial SSU rRNA". It matches the Rfam family "Bacterial small subunit ribosomal RNA", at positions 29 to 416 of the family's 1533-position model. The record is from RNAcentral.
AUUGAACGCUGGCGGCAUGCUUUACACAUGCAAGUCGAACGGCAGCACGGGCUUCGGCCUGGUGGCGAGUGGCGAACGGGUGAGUAAUGCAUCGGAACGUACCGUGUAAUGGGGGAUAACGUAGCGAAAGUUACGCUAAUACCGCAUACGCCCUGAGGGGGAAAGUGGGGGACCGCAAGGCCUCACGUUAUACGAGCGGCCGAUGUCGGAUUAGCUAGUUGGUGGGGUAAAGGCCUACCAAGGCGACGAUCCGUAGCGGGUCUGAGAGGAUGAUCCGCCACACUGGGACUGAGACACGGCCCAGACUCCUACGGGAGGCAGCAGUGGGGAAUUUUGGGACAAUGGGCGCAAGCCUGAUCCAGCCAUGCCGCGUGAGUGAAGAAGGCC